UAAGUUUAAGUCUAGAAAUAAAUCCAUAUUCCUAGUUCGCUUAAACUAAUGCUCUGAUACCAACUGUGACAUCCCCAUUUUCACGGCCAGAAAAGACCGAUGUUGUUUAUGCUUUAUAAAAAUCAGAGUACUUCAUUUUAUAAAAAUGUUGCGGAAUUUGUUCCCAGAAAAACAUGGUAAAUACGUUAUUAAAACAUUUUCGAAGAAACGUAUUUAUUUCAUUUUAAAACGUUUGGGAUGUCAUCGUUAAUACAGAAACAUAAGCAUAAACAGAACUUACAAUUAUUUACACUAGUGAUCUACAUCUCUUUAAAUCUCUCAGUGUAAUGUCACUUCAUAUCAACACCUGUGAUAUAAAUAAACUGAGUGGGUCAGGUUGGGAAACCUGGUGAGUACAUAGGGUUUUCAACCCACAAUAAUAUAAUUAUUUUGUUUAAACAAUUAAACAAUCAACCCAAUUACCCAUCCCCAUUAUCUUCUUUAUUCUUAAGGAUCUACCCUAAGAAUCAGCUAUUCCUCGUUCAUUUAUUCCUAAGGAGUAUCCUAAGGAAUAGGUACAAAUUCCAUUGUUGUAAAUGACACAUCUGUCAAGCACAAUCUGCUAGUUCUGUCACUAGGGCGCAACUACCAAAAUUGUGACAUUCUCUAUGGGGCGCAUCUGCCGAAAUAGUCCUUUAGGCGCAUCUGCCGGGGUUAUGAGGUUCUCUAUUAGGCGCUUAUGCCGGUAUAGUCCUUUAGGCGCAUCUGCCGGGUUUUAUUGACAGUAUCGUUUUCGAGAGUCUACUCGCAAUACUUAUCAAUGGAUUUUUAGAAUACAGCGGUGAACACGUCGUUCACAACACCUACAGGUUGCGAGCCUACUAGUGUUCCACUGGACUGUCUAGAAUAGUCCGUGGUUGUCAUCCAUACUCUGCUGAAUGAAGGGGCCAUCAUCUGGGAAAAAGGCAUCUCACAUCGUCCACCUCUCACCCUCGCCUCACGGUCUAUUUCACCUCUCAACUCAUCAUCCAACUCAUAUUUCAUCUAUUACAUCUACCCAUGUCUUAUCCCAACAUUUUCGUAGAUAUAAAAUACAUAUACAGUUUAAAUCAUUUAAAACGUGUAUAAAAUCGUUCAUUUAUUCCUAAGGAGUAUCCUAAGGAAUAGGUACAAAUUCCAUUGUUGUAAAUGACACAUCUGUCAAGCACAAUCUGCUAGUUCUGUCACUAGGGCGCAACUACCAAAAUUGUGACAUUCUCUAUGGGGCGCAUCUGCCGAAAUAGUCCUUUAGGCGCAUUUGCUGGGGUUAUGAGGUUCUCUAUUAGGCGCUUAUGCCGGUAUAGUCCUUUAGGUGCAUCUGCUGGGUUUUAUUGACAGUAUCGUUUUCGAGAGUCCACUCGCAAUACUUAUCAAUGGGUUUUUAGAAUACACCGGUGAACACGUCGUUCACAACACCUACAAGUUGCGAGCCUGCUAGUGUUCCACCGGACUGUCUAGAAUAGUCUGUGGUUGUCAUCCAUACUCUGCUGAAUGAAGGGGCCAUCAUUUAGGAAAAAGGCUUCUCACAUCGUCCACCUCUCACCCUCGCCUCACGGUCUAUUUCACCUCUCAACUCAUCAUCCAACUCAUAUUUCAUCUAUUACAUCUACCCAUGUCUUAUCCCAACAUUUUCGUAGAUAUAAAAUACAUAUACAGUUUAAAUCAUUUAAAACGUGUAUAAAAUCGUUCACCCAGCAUAGAUAGCAAGUAUUCAGAUAAUAUGUACACAUAGUACGUAAUUUAUAUAAAAUACUUUAUAUCUAUGUGUAAGCUGAAAGUAACUAUGCACUCACCUGAAAGGUGGUGACUCAGUACUCGGACAGCGCUCCGAUACUCUCAAAACAAUUUCCUUCGAUAAAACCUAGUAUCAAUACCACUAGGGUUUAGUAUAAUGAUAACCGCGACAAAUUAAUAGCCUGACUAUUAUUACUAUUAUAUAAGCGUUAAAUAACACUCAAUAUAACUCAUAAUAAUAGCCCAAAUAAUUAAUUUCAGGACCUAAUAACAUUACUAUAAUUAUUUGAAAACUAUAUUAAAAGUUGUGUAAACGUAGCUCACUUACAAUGGAUUUUAAAGAAAACCAGGCUUUCCUCGGAGCAGCGUUUCGAAACCGAAAAAAACCUUUUUCUUGGGACUCCGGGAGCCUUGGGGCUUCCUUCGGGUGCUAGGGGGUUUUCCUAGGGUUUAGGAGGGUUUAGGGGAGUUAGAGAGAGAAAGAAACUAGAGAGAGAACGAUUUUUGUGUGAAAAAAUGAAGCUGCCUCAGCCCCCUUUUAUAGCCUGCGAGGCCUCGGUACGCUGGGCGUACCUCGGACCUACGCUGGGCGUAACACUUCGUUCGUACAACACGUGUUGCGAAAGGGCUGGGUCAUCGUGGCGUAAUGUGGACCGAGGGAGAAACAAGACUGCUGCGCGUUCUGAGCCUCGUACGUGAGGCGCACUCGUACGCUGGGCGUUUGAUGCGAACGUUGGGAGUAUGCGAGGACUACGUAUCAUCCAUCCGAAGCGAGGCGUGAUCAGCAAGCGACGGUCCAGAUGCUGCCACGUCAUCAACUUCACACCAGAUUCAUGAUUUUAUACUCUGACUUCUAAAAAUCAUAACUCUUGCAUACGAGCUCCCUUUUUGACGUUCUUUAUAUCCACAUGAAGGUGGGAACAUACUCUACAACUUUCGUUUAGUUUCCGUCGGCUAAUUUUGACUCUAUUUUAAAAGUUACAUUAUUAACAGGCCGGGAUAGGAUUGGUCCGUUAAAUUCUCAUAACUUCUUCAUCCAACGUCCGUUUUCGCCCAUCUUUUUCUCGUUACGCUACUCUUAACAAGAUCUUUGAUUCUCGUUUAGGUCGUGUCGGCCAAAACCGUUCGAUCUAUUAUUCGAAUAUCGGGUUGUACACUGCCAAUCCGAAACUUCGAAAAAUCAUAACUUCCUCAUACGAAGUAAGAUUUGGGCGUUCUUUUUAUGGACGCUCUUAGUUUAACAUAUUCUUCGACUUUCGUUUAGAUUGCUAAGGCUAAAUCUGGCUCUAUCAUAAAUUCACUAUUUACGCUUCCCGGUGCCGUGCCGAUUCCGUCGCGAAACAUCGACGGGUUAUAACUUCUUCGUUAUAACUCGGAUUUCGGCGUUCUUUAUAUGUACAGAAACCUUGUGACAUAUUCUAAAACUUGGUUAAGAUUAUUUAUUCUAAAUAAUCUUUUUUCGAAAAGUCGUUUUCGACCCCUAUUGCCUCUAAAUUAACUAGCCUGGAUCUGCGGGCGUUACAAUUAUCUCCCCCUUAGGAUGAUUACGUCCCGGAAUCAUCAACGAAACAGGGUUCGUAUAAUGACUCAAUACGUCAUCUCUUCAUCCUAGGUAAUAAUUAUAACUUCUAUAUUCCUUCAAGUCUAUCUCUUAGACUUAUUGACUGUAAGCAGUACUCGAUCUUGCACCUGCUCUCUACCUCAGGUUAGACUCCAAAUUAUGACCUAUCAUCAUGUGAUGCACGUUUAGACUCAGGUCUCUUAGUGUCAAAUUCUAAAAUAGACUAUGCCUUCCUUCAUGUUCUAAUUUGAUAUAAUCACACUACCAACUUCUUUAAAAACGAGCGCGAUACUUCUAUUGAUCGCUUUGAUUUCAAUCGUUUGGUUUAAGUCGGACGCUACAUCAAACUUGGUUCUCUAAACCACGUAACCUACUCAUUGUAGUCGGACUUAAUGUGAUAUGACCACUAGGGUCGGGAUAACAACAAUUUUUCUUAGUUAUUAGCGGAACGAUGGUAACAACACACUUGAAUAAAACGAAAUCAAUUACUAGCUUCUUGGUAACCUUGUGACUUUCCCUGAUCCAAGGGUGAGUCCUGUGCUUCCGGUAGUAUAGGCCUCUACUACCUUUUACACCUACUCAUACUCGUCCCAAGUAUUGUCCUGCAGUUUUCCAAGUCACCAUACAAGAAAAUCACAUAACAGCUUAACACAUCAAAUAUCAAAANUUUAUUAUUUCUCGAAACUAUUACAUAGGUGUUCAAGUUCACCCUAGACUAUGCCUCUAAUAGGCUACAUCAUAUGAUACUAUGGCUACUGCAUAACUUGAUCUUCGGAUAUGAAGUCCUCAUCCUUGAUUCCUCGCGUUGUUUUCUGCUUCGUCGAGGAUCAUGUGAAAUGCUCUCGCCUUUGGCUUUGGCGGCACAUUUGGUUUUGUAGCCCCCUCUCUCUUUGGGCAGUCUUGCUUGAAGUGACCUUCGUCGUUACAUCCGUAACACACCCUUUUGUUGAAUGUACACUCGUUGGCAUAAUGCCCAUGCUUCCCACACUUGAAACAAGUCACCUCCUCACCGCAUUUUCCAGUGUGUUUCUUUUUGCACUUUUCGCACCAUCUUUCUUCACCUCCUCCUCCUAUUUCGAACUUCUUCGAGAAUUUUCUCUUCUCGUUGGACUUUGAAGAUCCUUCAAAUUUCCUUUUCUCUCCCACCUCCGCUCUCUCCAGACCCUUCUCACGUAUCCAGGUCUCCACAUUUUUAGCAACCCAGAUGGCGACUUUCAGAGUGGUAUUUUGCUUGACCAUUGGACCAAAGUCCGCUGGUAAUCCGAGGGAAAACUUGUUAACCUUGGAGAGUUCUGUCGGGACAAGGUGAGGAACAAACUUCAUUUUCUCAGUAAAGCUUGCAACAUAUUCAGUAACGCUCAUUCUUCCCUUCUUCAGAUUAUGAAAUUUGUUGUUGAUCUCCAGAAGAUCCUGCUCAGAGCAGUAUUGCAUCUUCAACUGCACCAGAAAAUCCUCCCAUGACAUCUUGCUUGCUUCACCUUUGUGCAUUGAAUCAGCCAGUAGCUUCCACCAACUUAGUACUCCAGAUUUCAAUAGAGGAACCGCGAGAGCGGUCUUCUGCCUGUUGCUACACCCGCAACUCUCAAACAUCGUCUCCAUCUCAGCGAUCCAGUUCAUGACUUCCACCGGCGUCGGGCUUCCAGAUAGACUCGGUGGUUUGGACGCCAUGAAAUCCUUCUAUUUGCAUACACGCCCAUCAUUUCCUCCAUCCUGGUGGCUUUGCCUAACUAUCAGUGGGUUGGCUUGACCAACAGUCCCACUGUAGUUUCCCUCCUCAGUCUGCCAUUCGUUCAACUCGGGCUGUUCGACCUAUAUGGUCUCUUCCUCUCGAUUUUGUUGGAGCAAACAUAUGGUUUCCUCCAUUUGACGAUCCAACAUCGCCUGGAUCAUCGCUUGCACUCUGGCCAUCGUUAUUGGCUCAGCAGCGGCCACCACNNNNNNNNNNNNNNNNNNNNNNNNNNNNNNNNNNNNNNNNNNNNNNNNNNNNNNNNNNNNNNNNNNNNNNNNNNNNNNNNNNNNNNNNNNNNNNNNNNNNNNNNNNNNNNNNNNNNNNNNNNNNNNNNNNNNNNNNNNNNNNNNNNNNNNNNNNNNNNNNNNNNNNNNNNNNNNNNNNUCCCAGAUCUCGAAUCAGCGAGCUUGGCCGCCGGCUGAGACUGCGCCGGUCGCCGAUCCCUCCCCUGAGACUCAGCGUCCUCCCUAGCCUAGGUCUCCAGCUCUAUUUCCCUCUUCCGGGCAUUUUCCUGAAGCUCAACAAAUGUCCGGUACGUCGAUUUCGCCACGAACUCUCGUAUAUCCCUACUCAAAAUGCUCAGAUAUCGGCUCAUACGUGCCUGCUCGGAGGACACGUGCUCUGGGUAGAACAUCGCCCGCUCAUGGAAAAUCCUCAUAAUCACUGUGACAGACUCAGUACCCUGCUUGAGGGUCAGAAACUCCUGGGCCAAACGCUCCCUCUCCACCUGGGGAACGUACUCAUCUCGGAACAUAGCAGUGUGUGACAUCCCCAUUUUCACGGCCAGAAAAGACCGAUUUUAUUUAUGCUUUAUAAAAAUCAGAGUACUUCUUUUCAUAAAAAUGUUGUGGAAUUUGUUCCCAGAAAAAUACGAUAAAUACGUUAUCAAAACAUUUUUGAAGAAACGUUUUUAUUCAUUGUAAAACGUUUGGGAUGUCAUUGUCAAUA
RNAcentral lists this long non-coding RNA (5990 nucleotides) under Lactuca sativa (garden lettuce). Its description in RNAcentral is "long non-coding RNA (LSAT_LNC003997)". The record is from RNAcentral. Lineage: Eukaryota; Viridiplantae; Streptophyta; Magnoliopsida; Asterales; Asteraceae.